ACGUCAGGCACUGUCAUUGUGUGAAUAAUUAAUGAUAUAGUGAUCCAAGCAUUACGUCGAGUUUGCCGUAAGCUUACCUCAUAGCCAUCAUAAGCCAGGUUUGCUGACGUAAGGGUAACGUAACCACACGGAAGAGCCAAAAAGUACUAUUGAGGAAUACAAACGCAAAAGCAGCAGCAGUAACAACAACAGAAAACAGUUUUGUUAGAUAAAUGGCCUUGGGCAAAAGUCUUUAUAACUGCAAUCACAUAAGUUAGUGGAAACAGUGUCAGGCUUUCCCAGAUGGAGACAAUAUAGUGAGGUAAAAUUUUAGUGCUGUUUAAAUGAAUGCGUUGUGUUUGUUAUUCAUUUAAAAAUAUGAACAUAAAGUUAUGACUCAUGACAAACUGGCAAGAGAGUUGAUAACACAGAUCUGUCCAAAUAUGAGGGAAACUAUAUUCCUUUGUAGGCCUACUGUGUAGCAUUAUUAGAAUUAUUCACCCAGUGUUUAUUCACAAGAUUGACCGAAGCCUAUUUAGAUGACCAAAUUAUGAACAUUGUGACCCACCCUGAGGCUGUAAGAGUGUGCCUGAUGAGAGAAUGCGUACUUGAAGCAGUUAUAGGACAUAAUAUAUUCAAGAAGACCAAGCGAUCCUUAUAGGACUACAUGCAAAGCAAUGUACUCCAGACCGCACAACUGGACAUACAGAUUGUGCCCUGAUGCCAUCUGCCCCGUUCUCCCAGCCUCAUCUUCCCUCUCUAUGCCUAGCUUCACAUCGGUUGGCUCUUCUUUGGCUCUCUUCAUCCCGUCUGCCUGCCUCGCUGCUCUCCCUGAUAACAUUUCCUGACUGAUGCCUUGCACUCUGACUCUUUCUGCAAGGUGCCAUUCUCAGCAGUGACUCAAUUUAGUGCCACCCUGCUGCUUGGCAUUGCACUUCUGAGGUCAUCACCA
Molecule: non-coding RNA, 931 nt
Organism: Misgurnus anguillicaudatus (oriental weatherfish)
Lineage: Eukaryota; Metazoa; Chordata; Actinopteri; Cypriniformes; Cobitidae
Source: RefSeq, a predicted model, not a curated record